This is a long non-coding RNA of Dromiciops gliroides (monito del monte), 1290 nucleotides long. RefSeq lists it as uncharacterized. The transcript is spliced from 5 exons. The record is from RefSeq and is a predicted model, not a curated record. Lineage: Eukaryota; Metazoa; Chordata; Mammalia; Microbiotheria; Microbiotheriidae.
GUGAAAUCCCUUUGUAUGUUUGCUGGGAGGACCCAACUGAAGUUUCUCACUCUGCAGCGGGGGACCUUGAUGAUGCAUGAGGACUGGCAUCCCCGGCCACAAUGAACCAUUGUGCAUCCUCCGGACUCACUCUACCUCUUAUGGAUACAAGAUGUCAAAGGUUGCCUGGCCUGGCCGACCAUGACAUGAAGCCUUCUCUGACUAAUCCUGUAGAAGAGUCUGUUGGUCCCUACCCCAGGAUAUGGUGUCUCUGGGUAACCUGACCCCAAUGACUGUUACCGAGUGGGAAGAUCCACAGAGGCUGUUGUCUCAUAGAAAAGUCCCAGAAUGACAGUCUCAGAGCUGGAAGGACCUCAGAGGCCAUUUGGCCAACCUGGAUCACGAUGGGGAACCCACCACUGCCUGUGGAGACAGCUCAUGUGCUUCAGGGACAUUUUUCAUGACACUAAGCGGAAGCCUUCAUCUCUAUGCCAUCCACCCAUAGCCAAGAGGAACAAAUCUAAACUGUCUUCCACAGAACAGCUGUUAAUAUACUUGAGGAUGGCUCUACUUUCUCCCUUCCAUCUCCUCAUCUUCAAGCUUGAUUUGCUCUUGAUAUGCUAUGUUUUCCAGCCUUUUAGCACCCUCGUUAUUCUUUCCUUGAUACUCGUCAGUUUGUCUAAACCCUCCCUAAAAUAUGUUACCCAUAACUGAACACAAUACUGCAGAUGUGGCUUGUCCAGGGAAUGAGCACUUCUUUCCUUUUAGACAUUUGUCAUUGACCCAGUUCCAAAUCCACUGAACACUGAGCUCACAUCUUUCCAUCAUAAUAACAAACAGGACAUAAGAGAAUUUGUCAAAAGAUUUGCUAAAACCAAAUAUACUUUAACCAUAGCAUUCCCCUUACCUACCAGUCAGCUUGUCUGGCAUGAUCUUUUCUCGAUGAAUCCAUGCUGUUGAUGAACCCAUGCCCCUUUUCUUUCCAGUGUUCUCAAAUGGUCACAUUGUAAAUAGGAUUGGGAGAAUCAGUCAGUCAACAAACAUUUAUUCAUUGCUCUGCUACAGUGUUGGAGAUAAAAACUGAACUUGUGAUUUCAAUGGCUUUUGGGGACUCUAAGAUGAGGAAAAUUCUUUUAUCAAUGAAGAUUGGCACCUUUUUGCAACCAAUAGUCUCAGAGAGUUUCCUGUUCUACAAUUUUGCCAGCAAAUAGAGUCAAAUUCACUGGUCAUUAGUUGGCAGAAACAUCUUCCCAUUAAAAAAAAACAACAACACAGGGGCAGCUAGGUGGCACAGUGGAUAGAGCACCAGCC